RNAcentral lists this ribosomal RNA (531 nucleotides) under Escherichia coli. RNAcentral's name for it is "bacterial SSU rRNA". It matches the Rfam family "Bacterial small subunit ribosomal RNA", at positions 1014 to 1533 of the family's 1533-position model. The record is from RNAcentral. RNAcentral also lists the same sequence under 1 other name. Lineage: Bacteria; Pseudomonadati; Pseudomonadota; Gammaproteobacteria; Enterobacterales; Enterobacteriaceae.
GUGCCUUCGGGAACUGUGAGACAGGUGCUGCAUGGCUGUCGUCAGCUCGUGUUGUGAAAUGUUGGGUUAAGUCCCGCAACGAGCGCAACCCUUAUCCUUUGUUGCCAGCGGUCCGGCCGGGAACUCAAAGGAGACUGCCAGUGAUAAACUGGAGGAAGGUGGGGAUGACGUCAAGUCAUCAUGGCCCUUACGACCAGGGCUACACACGUGCUACAAUGGCGCAUACAAAGAGAAGCGACCUCGCGAGAGCAAGCGGACCUCAUAAAGUGCGUCGUAGUCCGGAUUGGAGUCUGCAACUCGACUCCAUGAAGUCGGAAUCGCUAGUAAUCGUGGAUCAGAAUGCCACGGUGAAUACGUUCCCGGGCCUUGUACACACCGCCCGUCACACCAUGGGAGUGGGUUGCAAAAGAAGUAGGUAGCUUAACCUUCGGGAGGGCGCUUACCACUUUGUGAUUCAUGACUGGGGUGAAGUCGUAACAAGGUAACCGUAGGGGAACCUGCGGUUGGAUCACCUCCUUACCUUAAAGAAGC